This 460-nucleotide ribosomal RNA is filed under the name uncultured bacterium. RNAcentral's name for it is "partial 16S ribosomal RNA". It matches the Rfam family "Bacterial small subunit ribosomal RNA", at positions 338 to 795 of the family's 1533-position model. The record is from RNAcentral.
CCUACGGGUGGCAGCAGUGAGGAAUAUUGGUCAAUGGACGCGAGUCUGAACCAGCCAAGUCGCGUGAAGGAUGACUGCCCUAUGGGUUGUAAACUUCUUUUGUAUGGGGGUAAAUUCCGCCACGUGUGGCGUUUUGUAAGUACCCUAUGAAUAAGGAUCGGCUAACUCCGUGCCAGCAGCCGCGGUAAUACGGAGGAUUCAAGCGUUAUCCGGAUUUAUUGGGUUUAAAGGGAGCGUAGGUGGAUUGUUAAGUCAGUUGUGAAAUUUUGCGGCUCAACCCUAGAAUUGCCUGUGAAACUGGCAGGCUUGAGUGUAGUAGAGGUAGGCGGAAUGCGUGGUGUAGCGGUGAAAUGCAUAGAGAUCACGCAGAACUCCGAUUGCGAAGGCAGCUUACUGGACUGCAACUGACGCUGAGGCACGAAAGUGUGGGUAGCAAACAGGAUUAGAUACCCCAGUAGUC